This 253-nucleotide ribosomal RNA is filed under the name uncultured bacterium. RNAcentral's name for it is "partial 16S ribosomal RNA". It matches the Rfam family "Bacterial small subunit ribosomal RNA", at positions 524 to 776 of the family's 1533-position model. The record is from RNAcentral.
UACGUAGGGUGCAAGCGUUGUCCGGAAUUAUUGGGCGUAAAGAGCGUGUAGGCGGCCAGGUAGGUCUGCUGUGAAAACUCGAGGCUCAACCUCGAGACGUCGGCGGAAACCAUCUGGCUAGAGUCCGGAAGAGGAGAGUGGAAUUCCUGGUGUAGCGGUGAAAUGCGCAGAUAUCAGGAGGAACACCGACGGCGAAGGCAGCUUACUGGGCCGAUACUGACGCUGAGGAGCGAAAGCGUGGGGAGCGAACAGG